RNAcentral lists this ribosomal RNA (885 nucleotides) under uncultured delta proteobacterium. Its description in RNAcentral is "bacterial SSU rRNA". It matches the Rfam family "Bacterial small subunit ribosomal RNA", at positions 28 to 895 of the family's 1533-position model. The record is from RNAcentral. Lineage: Bacteria; Deltaproteobacteria.
AACGAACGCUGGCGGCGCGCUUAACACAUGCAAGUCGAACGGUCCUGAUAGAGCCGUAAGGUGAUAUCGGGAUAGUGGCAAACGGGUGAGUAAUACGUGGAUAAUCUGCCCUUGAGUGGGGGGUAACUCUACGAAAGUGGAGCUAAUACCGCGAAGACUACAGAAUCGCAGGAUUCAGUAGUAAAAGGUUCCGGUUUACCGGAGUCGCUCAAGGAUGAGUCCGCGCCUGAUUAGCUAGUUGGUAGGGUAAUAGCCUACCAAGGCAACGAUCAGUAGCCGGCCUGAAAGGGUUUCGGCCACAUUGGAAUUGAGAUACGGUCCAGACUCCUACGGGAGGCAGCAGUGGGGAAUCUUGCGCAAUGGGGGAAACCCUGACGCAGUGACGCCGCGUGAACGAUGAAGUCCUUCGGGAUGUAAAGUUCUGUCAGGCGGGAAGAACCCCCCGAUUUAAUCGGGGAAUGACGGUACCGCCAAAGGAAGCACUGGCUAAUUCCGUGCCAGCAGCCGCGGUAACACGGAGAGUGCAAGCGUUGUUCGGAAUUACUAGGCGUAAAGAGCGUGUAGGUGGUUAGCUAAGUCGGAUGUGAAAAUCCCAAGCUUAACUUGGAACGUGCAUUCGAAACUGGUUAACUUGAGUGUAGGAGAGGAGAGCGGAAUUCCUAGUGUAGCGGUGAAAUGCGUAGAUAUUAGGAAGAACACCGGUGGCGAAGGCGGCUCUCUGGCCUGAAACUGACACUGAGACGCGAAAGCGUGGGUAGCGAACAGGAUUAGAUACCCUGGUAGUCCACGCCGUAAACGAUGGGCAUUAGGUGUAGGAGGUACCCAAUCCUUCUGUGCCGAAGUUAACGCAUUAAAUGCCCCGCCUGGGGAGACGACCGCAAGGUU